AACGCGUGGGAACCUGCCCUUAGGUUCGGAAUAACAGUUAGAAAUGACUGCUAAUGCCGGAUAAUGUCUUCGGACCAAAGAUUUAUCGCCUUUGGAUGGGCCCGCGUAGGAUUAGGUAGUUGGUGAGGUAAAGGCUCACCAAGCCGACGAUCCUUAGCUGGUCUGAGAGGAUGAUCAGCCACACUGGGACUGAGACACGGCCCAAACUCCUACGGGAGGCAGCAGUAGGGAAUAUUGGACAAUGGGCGAAAGCCUGAUCCAGCAAUGCCGCGUGAGUGAUGAAGGCCUUAGGGUUGUAAAGCUCUUUUACCAGGGAUGAUAAUGACAGUACCUGGAGAAUAAGCUCCGGCUAACUCCGUGCCAUCAGCCGCGGUAAUACGGAGGGAGCUAGCGUUGUUCGGAAUUACUGGGCGUAAAGCGCGCGUAGGCGGCUUUUCAAGUCAGGGGUGAAAUCCCGGGGCUCAACCCCGGAACUGCCCUUGAAACUGGAUGGCUAGAAUACUGGAGAGGUGAGUGGA
Molecule: ribosomal RNA, 518 nt
Filed under: uncultured bacterium
Lineage: Bacteria
Description: bacterial SSU rRNA
Rfam family: Bacterial small subunit ribosomal RNA
Source: RNAcentral